This 253-nucleotide ribosomal RNA is filed under the name uncultured bacterium. RNAcentral describes it as "partial 16S ribosomal RNA". It matches the Rfam family "Bacterial small subunit ribosomal RNA", at positions 524 to 776 of the family's 1533-position model. The record is from RNAcentral.
UACGUAGGGUGCAGGCGUUAAUCGGAAUUACUGGGCGUAAAGCGCGCGUAGGCGGCUUUUCAAGUCGAUUGUGAAAUCCCCGGGCUUAACCUGGGAACUGCAGUCGAGACUGUCUAGCUAGAGUAUGGGAGAGGGAAGUGGAAUUUCAGGUGUAGCGGUGAAAUGCGUAGAUAUCUGAAGGAACAUCAGUGGCGAAAGCGACUUCCUGGACCAAUACUGACGCUCAUGUGCGAAAGCGUGGGGAGCAAACAGG